ACCGGCGGCUCGAGUGGUGGCCACUAUUACUGGGCUUAAAGCGUUCGUAGCUGGCUUGUUAAGUCUCUGGGGAAAUCUUCCGGCUCAACCGGAAGGCGUCUCAGGGAUACUGGCAGGCUAGGGACCGGAAGAGGGGAGAGGUACUCCAGGACGGCGGGGCACAAGGUGGGAUCCGUGAGGGACGAGCGGAAGCGGGGGCGUCACACCUGGUUAGCUCCGGCAGUCAGGCGGGGAACUGAGGAAAUAAAGGAG
Molecule: ribosomal RNA, 252 nt
Filed under: uncultured prokaryote
Description: partial 16S rRNA
Rfam family: Archaeal small subunit ribosomal RNA
Source: RNAcentral